This 253-nucleotide ribosomal RNA is filed under the name uncultured bacterium. Its description in RNAcentral is "partial 16S ribosomal RNA". It matches the Rfam family "Bacterial small subunit ribosomal RNA", at positions 524 to 776 of the family's 1533-position model. The record is from RNAcentral.
UACAGAGGGGGCAAGCGUUGUUCGGAAUUACUGGGCGUAAAGGGCGCGUAGGUGGCCCGCUAAGUCGAACGUGAAAUCCCCGAGCUCAACUCGGGAACUGCGUCCGAUACUGGUGGGCUUGAAUCCGGGAGAGGGAUGCGGAAUUCCAGGUGUAGCGGUGAAAUGCGUAGAUAUCUGGAGGAACACCGGUGGCGAAGGCGGCAUCCUGGACCGGCAUUGACGCUGAGGCGCGAAAGCUAGGGGAGCAAACAGG